GUCCUGGUUGUCCCCCAACAGUGUCCCAUGCCCAUAGCAGUGCUGGUGGUGAUAGUGUCCUGCUACCUGGUCCUAGCACCUAUCAUAGACAAGCCAGAGCUGGAGUAUCUCUACUGUACCAUCUUCAUCCUCAGCGGUCUGCUGCUCUACUUCCCCUUCGUACACCGCAAGUUCAGCUGGACACGCAGGGUCAUGAGGCCAAUCACCAUGUACCUCCAGCUGCUGAUGGAGGUCGUUCCUCCUGAGAACAACGAAUAGAGGAAGAUAAUAAACAGCCUGAACUGACUAAUGUGGACAAAUGUCUUUUACUGCGUCCCAAAUGGUACCCUAUUCCCUCUGUGGUGCACUAUAGGCCCCAGUCAAAAGUAGUGCACUACAUAGGGAAUAGGGUGCCAUUUGAGACACAGGCCUUAGAAAACACAGACUGUCUCAUAAUGAAGGUACUGUCUCAUAAUGAAGGUACUGUACUGUCUCAUAAUGAAGGUACUGUCUCAUAAUGAAGGUCCUGUACUGUCUCAUAAUGAAGGUACUGUCUCAUAAUGAAGGUACUGUCUCAUAAUGAAGGUACUGUACUGUCUCAUAAUGAGGUACUGCUACUGUCUCAUAAUGAAGGUACUGUCUCAUAAUGAAGGUAAUGUCUCAUAAUGAAGGUAAUGUCUCAUAAUGAAGGUUAUGUACUGUGUCAUAAUGCUGGAAAUGCUGGAAUCCUGUCUGUUUCUCUCCCUUGAGACUAUCGCCAAUGGUUUACAUAAUGCCCCUCUGUGUUUAAACCUGCUUAGGAGGACAUAUUUGCUUUAGACACUAUAUAUUGAAGACACAGAGGCUCGCUUGUCAAGUUGCAGCAGCUGAUAAUGAAGGUACUGUAUCAAUGAGACUGGCUCUGCUUGGCAGGUUGCAGCAGCGAUAAUGAAGGUACUGUAUCAUAAUGAGACAGUGGCUCUGCUUGCAGUUGCAGCAGCUGAUAAUGAGGUACUGUAUCAUAAUGAGACAGUGCUCUGCUUGGCAGGUUGGCAGCAGCCGUCUACAUGAUCUGGAUCCCAAACUAAUUGACUGGAUACAGGAGGUCAAUGCCUGCGUCUCAAAUCACACCCUGUGGCCCUAGGGAAUGGGGCGCCAUUUGAAACGUUGACAAUAUGCUGUUCUUGUACAUGACUAGAGAGACAUAAGAGACCAAAAUUGUCAUUAUUUUUUUACUUUUAUUUGUCCUCGACAUUGUUUAAAAUCCCUCAUGUU
Non-coding RNA from Salvelinus sp. IW2-2015, 1233 nucleotides. The record is from RefSeq and is a predicted model, not a curated record. NCBI's taxonomy places the organism in Eukaryota, Metazoa, Chordata, Actinopteri, Salmoniformes, Salmonidae.